This is a non-coding RNA of Lolium perenne, 2785 nucleotides long. Lineage: Eukaryota; Viridiplantae; Streptophyta; Magnoliopsida; Poales; Poaceae. The record is from RefSeq and is a predicted model, not a curated record.
CAUUCGCUCUUCCGCGGACCGCACCUCACGAGAAAACCGCGUGGUCAAAACAUCCCUGUGAGUCAACCCACGCCCAUCAUCAAGCUCCGCCUCAGCCUCCUGCAUCCCCGCGAUUUCUGUACCCAGUGCCCCCUGCUCGUCGCCCUGAAGCCACCCCUGCUACCCCGCCAGCCCUUCUGCCCGCCCUCACGCUUGCACCCACGCGACCGAAUCAGGGAUCCGGUAUCCGUGCCGCCGUGCCGGAGAACCUCUUAACCAGGAGUCCGGGAUUAGAGAAGGAUCCAGUGACGGCGAACUAGAUAAGGAGGAUUCAGUUCACCUCUCACCGCUGUGAUUGAUGCAUACGAUCUGGGAGGCUGUGGUGCUCCAUCAACGAAUAAAAGCAGGUCCUCAAACUCUCAGAUGGAUAUUCGGGAUUUAUCCCCUAGCGAUUCCCGCCUCGCUACACACUGCAAUCCCUGCUCCCCCGACACAGAUCCGAUGGCGGGAGCCGCCGUGUCAAGCCUCAGCUUCCACACUCCUCUCACGCGGAUAUGUUGGGCUGGAUGACGCCGCCGUCCAACUCAACCCUCGACUGCUCCAUGAACUGUGCAGUCUAGGUCCUCCCUGAGUUUUCCCCGAGCUCCCGCCGCCGCUUCAGCACAGGAAUAUGCCUUUUAGGCCGAUGAUGUUUGGUUCUUCAUGUUUUCCUCAUCUCCAUGUUUCAAAUAUUUGGCCCCAAUUCUAAGUGAAUAAUACAUGGAAUUUCAUUUUAUUUUUACCAUGAAGGAGUCAAGUGUUAACACUAUAUCUUUGGCAUCACAAUACCUACAGUGUCUGCUAAUUCGGUAGCAGACUCCCAAUUCACAAUACUAGCUUCUGUAGCACAAUUGUUUACCAGAAAGUUCAGGCCCAAGUCCUAUCUUAAUAGUCUUAUUUUGUGAUAAAAAGAAUAAUCUAUGGCACGGUCAAUGCUGGUCAGAUUGGUGAUAGAAUUUUUAAGCUGUUCCCACCCUUUUAUGUUGAGAGCUUAUUAUGUUGUGCUCUACUGCCAAAAUCCUGCUAAAUAUAAUACUAUCCUACGAUAGAUCCCAAUUUACCGCAUCAAGUUUCUGUAGCACAGUUGUUUUAUCAGAAAGUCUAGGCCCAAGUCCAAAGUAGUAGAGAUAAAAAGAAGAAUCUAGGGCAUGUUAAAUGCUGGCCAGGUUAGUGGUAGAAUUUUUAAGUUGUUUCCACCCUUGUAUGCGGAGAGCCUACUGCUUCCAAAUUCUAUUUUCUUUUCUUUCAUUGUAGUAAGCCAAGAUGGAAUCUGGGAAACGAAGAACUUACCCAACUGUGGAAAUGGGCAGAAUAAAACCCUGUAUGUUGUAGCUACAGCUUCCCGUUGUUAUCGUAUUUGAUUGAGUAACAGUGUAUAAGGUGCAAAGUGCAUCAGUUCUAGGCCCUUUUAGGUAUUGUUGGAGUGUCGAAAAAAGUAUUUUUUUUCUUACUGUCCAAAUUUACUUUCUACUUUUAUAAAGAAUGUUGUAGAUUCUUGAGUGAGGACACUCAGUAGAACAGGGGCCUUGUACAAUUUUUCUGUAAGUUCCUGCUCCAUUCAGUUGAAUUAAUUAUGCAAGAUUCCAAUUCCAUAUAUGUGCUCGCUGUCACAUUUGUUUUCUAGCCGUAUAAUUUUCAAAUGCUGAACAUUUUGACCCCACUUCUUUUUUGCAGAAUGCUUUGAUUGAUCCUGACCGAGUCUGUACAACACCAGUUACAUAAUACUGGAAACCACUUGCAGAAGAUGUAGCACUUUCAUUUCCCUUUCAUUGUCAUUUUGCACAUAUGGUUCAUCCAUCUUUUAAAAAAAACAUCAGCUUAUUAGCACAGUGCUCUAAUACUGAUUAUUUAAUGUAAAGUUGCAGAUGGACACAGCUGCUAGAAUUGAGGAGUAUCACCACAAAAACAACCGUGUAUGUUCAUAUACCAGCGCUAUCGUUUUCCUGUCACCCCAAUCUUGUCUAAUAUUUUUUCAUGCAUCGGUACUCUCUUUUAACAAAAAGAUUGGAUGAAAGAUAUGCAAGUAAAACUAUGCAGAAAAUAGUGACAUUACUUGUCAUAUAUCUGCAUCUUAAUUAAGUUGUGUUUUGGUGAAACACUGAGAUGUCAUGACGGGUCGCUAGAACAUUGAAUGCUGAAUAGGUUGCAACUUGCUGAUCGUUUCUUGUUUGGUGACUUGCUAAUAGUGCUAGGCUAUUAGAAUUCUGUAAUAGAUUAGUUUGUAUUAAUGAAACAUAUGUGAAAUCUGGUGUCAUUGUUCAUUGCCCUUAUUUAUUGUUCAGUGAAAGAAACCCGAGAUGCAUAGUUAUUAAUGUUUCCUUCCCUAACCUUUGGGUGUUGUGCGGUUUUGUGAAAAGAAAUGUGGACAUCCAUCGCUGCUCUAUGUUUCUACAGAAUUUGCUGCAUACAUGUAUUGAAUCUUGGUCAUGGCAUUAUAAGGUGAGAACUGGGAAAACAUUGCCCGUUUCUUUGAGCUUACGGAAGGGAUCAGAUACUGAAAGACAUUGUUGUAUAAUUUGUUGUUUUUUCUUAGUCGGAAGAAGUUGUAGAUUCCAUUCCACUACUUGAGGAUAGAUGCAGGAAGCCACAUCCGUAGCAUAGGUUAUCUGAUGAACACAUCUUGGUCUGACUGAAUCUGUAUUCUGCAUUCUCAUUUUCAUUUCGUUACAAUCUUAUAAGCAUGCACUAAUUUAGGUAUAAGUGGCUAUCUGUAUAUAUACAUCAUGUAUACUACUUCAACAUUAUAUUCCAAGAUAAGGUCCAGUUA